Molecule: ribosomal RNA, 2119 nt
Filed under: human gut metagenome
Description: bacterial LSU rRNA
Rfam family: Bacterial large subunit ribosomal RNA (bases 422-2119)
Source: RNAcentral
ACGUCGUACAUUAUUUCGCUGAGCUCUUCGAGGUCGGCGAAGAAUUCGUCCUCGUUUAUGUCUAUGGGCUUGCCGAUAUGUAUGAGAUUGUUUUCCGUCGCCUCAAGCCCCUCCUCGUCCAUGAGCAGCUCCUCAUAGAGCUUUUCGCCCGGACGAAGUCCCGUGAACUUUAUGUCAAUAUCCUUAUACGGCGUAUAGCCCGAAAGCCUGAUGAUGUUCUCCGCGAGGUCGACUAUCUUAACUGGCUCGCCCAUAUCGAGCACAAAGAUUUCGCCGCCCCUUGCGGAUGCGCCCGCCUGAAGAACGAGCGAGACGGCCUCGGGGAUAGUCAUAAAGUAGCGGAUAAUAUCUUUAUGAGUGACGGUAACGGGUCCGCCGUUUGCUAUCUGAUCUUUAAACAGCGGGAUAACCGAGCCGUUCGAGCCGAGGACAUUGCCGAAUCUGACGGCGACGAACUCGGUUUCCGAAUGCUUGUUGUAGGUCUGAACUAUCAUCUCGCAUAUGCGCUUUGUGGCGCCCAUGACAUUCGUGGGGUUGACCGCCUUAUCCGUAGAGAUGAGCACGAAACGCUCUACGCCGAACUUGUCCGCCGUGCGAACGGUCUUGAGCGUGCCGAAGACGUUAUUUUUGACGGCCUCGUUGGGGUUGUCCUCCAUAAGGGGCACGUGCUUAUGCGCCGCGGCAUGGUAGACGAUAUUCGGAUGAUACCGCGAAAACACGGUUGAUAUUCCUGUACCACCUAUAUGACUGAAGGAGUGACGGAGAAAGCUAGUGAGAGCCAGUUAAUGGAUUCUGGUCUAAGUGCGUAGGCUAGUAUGUUGGCAAAUCCGCAAUACUAUAACAGCUGAAACAUGAUGGGGAAGAGAGUCUUCGGACAAUCGAACUUUCAUGAUGCUAUGCUUCCAAGAAAAGCUUCUAGGGUUAAUCGUAUAGGUGCCUGUACCGACAACCGACACAGGUGGUCAAGGAGAGUAUCCUAAGGUGAGCGAGAGAACUAUGGUUAAGGAACUCGGCAAAAUGACCCCGUAACUUCGGGAGAAGGGGUGGUCUAGCGAUAGACCCGCAGUGAAUAGGCCCAGGCAACUGUUUACCAAAAACACAGGUCUCUGCUAACACGUAAGUGGAUGUAUAGGGGCUGACGCCUGCCCAGUGCUGGAAGGUUAAAGAGAUUAGUUAGUAUGACGUAAGUCGAUAAUACGAAGCUUUGAACUGAAGCCCCAGUGAACGGCGGCCGUAACUAUAACGGUCCUAAGGUAGCGAAAUUCCUUGUCAGGUAAGUUCUGACCCGCACGAAAGGCGUAAUGAUCUGGGUACUGUCUCAACCAUAGACUCGGUGAAAUCUUAAUACCUGUGAAAAUGCAGGUUACCCGCGACUGGACGGAAAGACCCCGUGGAGCUUUACUGUAGCUUGAUAUUGGAAUUCGGUAAACUAUGUAGAGCAUAGGUGGGAGACUAUGAGAUUAAGGCGCCAGCCUUAAAGGAGUCACCAUUGGAAUACCACCCUUAGUUUAUUGGAUUUCUAACCUAGGACCAUAAUCUGGUUCAGGGACAGUGUCUGGUGGGCAGUUUGACUGGGGCGGUCGCCUCCUAAAGAGUAACGGAGGCGUUCAAAGGUUCCCUCAGAAUGGUUGGAAAUCAUUCAAAGAGCAUAAAGGUAUAAAGGGAGCUUGACUGCAAGACCUACAAGUCAAGCAGGUGCGAAAGCAGGACUUAGUGAUCAGGCGAUUCAGAAUGGAAUGGUCGUCGCUUAACGGAUAAAAGUUACCCCGGGGAUAACAGGCUGAUACCACCCAAUAGUUCACAUAGACGGUGGUGUUUGGCACCUCGAUGUCGGCUCGUCAUAUCCUGGAGGUGGAGUCGCUUCCAAGGGUUGGGCUGUUCGCCCAUUAAAAUGGCACGCGAGCUGGGUUCAGAACGUCGUGAGACAGUUCGGUCCCUAUCCGUCGUGGGCGCAGGAAAAUUGAGGAGAGCUAUCCUUAGUACGAGAGGACCGGGAUGGACCUACCUCUGGUGUAUCUGUUGUCACGCCAGUGGCAGUGCAGAGUAGCUAUGUAGGGAAGGGAUAAACGCUGAAAGCAUCUAAGCGUGAAGCCCUCUCCAAGAUGAGUUUUCCCAUUGU